This 1232-nucleotide ribosomal RNA is filed under the name metagenome. RNAcentral's name for it is "bacterial LSU rRNA". It matches the Rfam family "Bacterial large subunit ribosomal RNA", at positions 1672 to 2910 of the family's 2925-position model. The record is from RNAcentral.
UAGAGUAUACCAAGGGGCGCGAGACAACUCUCUCUAAGGAACUCGGCAAAAUUACCUCGUAACUUCGGAAGAAGAGGUACCCCUUCACGGGGGUUGCAAUAGAUUGACCCUGGCGACUGUUUACCAAAAACACAGGUCUCCGCUAAUUCGUAAGAAAAAGUAUGGGGGCUGACGCCUGCCCAGUGCCGGAAGGUUAAAGAAGUUGGUUAGUCCUUGGACAAAGCUAGCGACUGAAGCCCCGGUGAACGGCGGCCGUAACUAUAACGGUCCUAAGGUAGCGAAAUUCCUUGUCGGGUAAGUUCCGACCCGCACGAAAGGCGUAACGAUCAGGGUACUGUCUCGGAGAGAGGCUCGGCGAAAUAGACAUGUCUGUGAAGAUGCGGACUACCUGCACCUGGACAGAAAGACCCUAUGAAGCUUUACUGUAUCUUGGAAUUGGGUUUGGUCUUUGCAUGCGCAGGAUAGGUGGGAGGCUUUGAAGAUGAUCUUGCGGGGUCGUUGGAGCCACUGGUGAGAUACCACCCUUGCAAUGAUAAAAUCCUAACUUUGAACCGUUAUCCGGUCAAAGAACAGUUUCAGGUGGGCAGUUUGACUGGGGCGGUCGCCUCCUAAAAGGUAACGGAGGCGUGCAAAGGUUCCCUCAGGCUGGUUGGACAUCAGUCGUAGAGUGUAAAGGCAUAAGGGAGCUUGACUGCGAGACCAACAAGUCGAGCAGAGACGAAAGUCGGCCUUAGUGAUCCGGCGCUUCCGAGUGGAAGGGGCGUCGCUCAACGGAUAAAAGUUACUCUAAGGAUAACAGGCUGAUCUCCCCCAAGAGUUCACAUCGACGGGGAGGUUUGGCACCUCGAUGUCGGCUCAUCGCAUCCUGGGGCGGUAGUACGUCCCAAGGGUUGCGCUGUUCGCCCAUGAAAGCGGUACGCGAGCUGGGUUCAGAACGUCGUGAGACAGUUCGGUCCAUAUCCGGUGCAGGCGUUAGAGUAUUGCGAAGACUCCUCCUUAGUACGAGAGGACCGGGGGGAAUGCACCGCUGGUGUACCAGUUAUCGUGCCAACGGUAAACGCUGGGUAGCCAAGUGCAGUUUGGAUAACUGCUGAAAGCAUCUAAGUAGGAAGCCAGCUUCAAGAUGAGUACUCUCACCGCUUCAAGCGGGUAAGAUCACGGCAAGAACAGCCGUUUGAUAGGCAUCAAGUGUAAGUGCAGUAAUGUAUUCAGCUGAGAUGUACUAAUAGAUC